This 1496-nucleotide ribosomal RNA is filed under the name uncultured Herbaspirillum sp. RNAcentral describes it as "bacterial SSU rRNA". It matches the Rfam family "Bacterial small subunit ribosomal RNA". Lineage: Bacteria; Pseudomonadati; Pseudomonadota; Betaproteobacteria; Burkholderiales; Oxalobacteraceae. The record is from RNAcentral.
UAGAGUUUGAUCCUGGCUCAGAUUGAACGCUGGCGGCAUGCCUUACACAUGCAAGUCGAACGGCAGCAUAGGAGCUUGCUCCUGAUGGCGAGUGGCGAACGGGUGAGUAAUAUAUCGGAACGUGCCCUAGAGUGGGGGAUAACUAGUCGAAAGAUUAGCUAAUACCGCAUACGAUCUACGGAUGAAAGUGGGGGAUCGCAAGACCUCAUGCUCAUGGAGCGGCCGAUAUCUGAUUAGCUAGUUGGUGGGGUAAAAGCUCACCAAGGCGACGAUCAGUAGCUGGUCUGAGAGGACGACCAGCCACACUGGGACUGAGACACGGCCCAGACUCCUACGGGAGGCAGCAGUGGGGAAUUUUGGACAAUGGGCGCAAGCCUGAUCCAGCCAUACCGCGUGGGUGAAGAAGGCCUUCGGGUUGUAAAGCUCUUUUGUCAGGGAAGAAACGGUUGCAGCUAAUAUCUGCGACUAAUGACGGUACCUGAAGAAUAAGCACCGGCUAACUACGUGCCAGCAGCCGCGGUAAUACGUAGGGUGCAAGCGUUAAUCGGAAUUACUGGGCGUAAAGCGUGCGCAGGCGGUUGUGUAAGUCAGAUGUGAAAUCCCCGGGCUCAACCUGGGAAUUGCAUUUGAGACUGCACGGCUAGAGUGUGUCAGAGGGGGGUAGAAUUCCACGUGUAGCAGUGAAAUGCGUAGAUAUGUGGAGGAAUACCGAUGGCGAAGGCAGCCCCCUGGGAUAACACUGACGCUCAUGCACGAAAGCGUGGGGAGCAAACAGGAUUAGAUACCCUGGUAGUCCACGCCCUAAACGAUGUCUACUAGUUGUCGGGUCUUAAUUGACUUGGUAACGCAGCUAACGCGUGAAGUAGACCGCCUGGGGAGUACGGUCGCAAGAUUAAAACUCAAAGGAAUUGACGGGGACCCGCACAAGCGGUGGAUGAUGUGGAUUAAUUCGAUGCAACGCGAAAAACCUUACCUACCCUUGACAUGGAUGGAAUCCUGAAGAGAUUUAGGAGUGCUCGAAAGAGAACCAUCACACAGGUGCUGCAUGGCUGUCGUCAGCUCGUGUCGUGAGAUGUUGGGUUAAGUCCCGCAACGAGCGCAACCCUUGUCAUUAGUUGCUACGAAAGGGCACUCUAAUGAGACUGCCGGUGACAAACCGGAGGAAGGUGGGAAUGACGUCAAGUCCUCAUGGCCCUUAUGGGUAGGGCUUCACACGUCAUACAAUGGUACAUACAGAGGGCCGCCAACCCGCGAGGGGGAGCUAAUCCCAGAAAGUGUAUCGUAGUCCGGAUUGGAGUCUGCAACUCGACUCCAUGAAGUUGGAAUCGCUAGUAAUCGCGGAUCAGCAUGUCGCGGUGAAUACGUUCCCGGGUCUUGUACACACCGCCCGUCACACCAUGGGAGUGGGUUGCACCAGAAGUAGCUAGUCUAACCUUCGGGAGGACGGUUACCACGGUGUGAUUCAUGACUGGGGUGAAGUCGUAACAAGGUAACCA